This 551-nucleotide ribosomal RNA is filed under the name uncultured Rubrobacteria bacterium. Its description in RNAcentral is "bacterial SSU rRNA". It matches the Rfam family "Bacterial small subunit ribosomal RNA", at positions 355 to 897 of the family's 1533-position model. Lineage: Bacteria; Bacillati; Actinomycetota; Rubrobacteria. The record is from RNAcentral.
UGGGGAAUCUUGCGCAAUGCGCGAAAGCGUGACGCAGCAACGCCGCGUGGGGGAAGAAGGCCUUCGGGUUGUAAACCCCUUUCAGGAGGGACGAAGGUCCGGCGGUGAAUAGCCGUCCGGACUGACGGUACCUCCACAAGAAGCCCCGGCUAACUACGUGCCAGCAGCCGCGGUAAUACGUAGGGGGCUAGCGUUGUCCGGAAUCAUUGGGCGUAAAGCGCGCGUAGGCGGCCCGGUAAGUCCGCUCUGAAAGUCCAGGGCUCAACCCUGGAAAGCGGGUGGAUACUGCCGGGCUAGAAUCCGGAAGAGGCGAGUGGAAUUCCUGGUGUAGCGGUGGAAUGCGCAGAUAUCAGGAGGAACACCAAUAGCGAAGGCAGCUCGCUGGGACGGUAUUGACGCUGAGGCGCGAAAGCGUGGGGAGCAAACAGGAUUAGAUACCCUGGUAGUCCACGCCGUAAACGAUGGGCACUAGGUGUGGGAGGUGUCGACUCCUCCCGUGCCGACGCUAACGCAUUAAGUGCCCCGCCUGGGGAGUACGGCCGCAAGGCUAA